CAGCAGCCAUGAGAGUGUCCUAAUUACACACCCCACAGGCCUUCCCCACGGAGGGACCUCAGACAGUACUGGAGCCCACACUGAUCUGGAUCUGCAGUGCCCUCUGUGGGCAGCUGGCUGUCAUGCCCUGAGAGUCAUGUAGGCAAGGGUGGGACACAGUGGGCACAGCAGAAACUAAGCACAAAGAAGGAAGGACGGACGGACGGACAUGGCUGCGGUUACCUGGUCAUCUGACACUUCCACACAGCGAAUGGAGAACGGAGGCUUGAGGUACAGAGGCAGGACUGCAGAUGGCGAGCGACACAGGACCCUGCUCCACAGCAAGGAGCAGACAGCAGCCGGGUCCCACUGCUGCGCCGUCACCAUCACUGUCACCACUGCGCCGUCCCUGCUUCCCCAGCCCCUUGGCACUGAGGAGCCUAUGGCACACUGCCCUCUGGAUAAUCCCUCUGUUUUCACUGUGAGUCACAGAGUGGCCCGAGGUCUUCGUACGCAUUCACAAACAGACAUACAAGUUGUAAGUAAGUACCUUCAGGAACAUGGCUCUUUCGUCGGGCGUGAAGUCGGAAGCCAGGAUGUCCCAGAGCCAGAUGAUGACUCUGUGACUCCCAUGAAAGCCGCCGUAGUACACCGUGUGCUUCCUGAAAACAACCCGGAGCAGGGCCCACAGUCAGGAACAGGCAGGCAGGGCACUGGCCAAGGUCCCAUGCCACGGCCUCAGCCCCCGGAAACUAAAUGGGCUGUCACCAGGGUACCCAGAGUCACUCUGCAUUAGAUGCAUUAGAAUCCAGGGAGGGAUCAGCUCUCCCAGGGGGCCCCAUCAUGCCACAAGUCCCUCCUCAGCCCUUACUUUAAGUCUUCCAAGUCGAUCUCAGCGUUGUCCCCGGAGAUGAGGCGCUGAAGCUCAGGGGUCGAGAACAUUCGGAUCCACUCGGGCUUGAUAAUGGAACGGAAGCCACUGAUGAGAGCAGCCGCCUGGUUUUUGAUCUGAGUGUGCAUUCGAAAAUGCGCCAUCAGAUGGAUGUAGCUAAUUCUGAAACAAGAGAGAGACGCUGGGACUAGCCGGCCAGGGCAGGCUGCUGCCACACGUGCAAGGAGACGAGCCUAGUGCUUUUGAACCAUCUCCGAAACACAAAUGCUAGCGUCUAUCAGCAGGUGCCGUGACGCCGUGAUGGUGGCCUCCAGGCCACACACUGUGCCACCAUGACGGCACCGAGUGUUGAGGGCACUGCCUGUUCACUUGUCCUCACAGCACCCAGGAACUCCCUGGGAUGGCCCCAUGCUCUCCGGACCGAGGGCCACCUGCACAGGUCAGUCCCACUGGACCUCUCUCAAGGACACAGCCUAGUGCUCCAACCAACUUCAGAGAGAAGCUGCCUCUCCUGCAGCAGCACACUGAAGCCUGAAGCACUGUCAGACUGGAUCUACUGUCUCCAAAAUGCUGCUGGGUUAUUCCUAGGUUCAACAGGGAGGUCAGAUCAACCCGCACUUAUGGGGAAAAGGGUCUCCAGCUAGUGCCCCUGGAUCUAGCUUGACUACAGCUGCAGGCUGUCACCCCAGGAAGCUGGCCAGUGUCGCUGAUCUGUUGGCAAGCACGCCCAAGUACGCUAUUAAAAACUGCAUGUGAAGAAUAGUCCAAAUAAUUCCACUUAGCCUCAUAGUGCCCAAGUCAAAGUUACUGUCCCUGAAUAUUUCUAGAUUAAAAAACAGCAACAAACAUUACACACUAAAUACAUUCAAAUAUGAAUUUUCAAUUA
This is a long non-coding RNA of Grammomys surdaster, 1757 nucleotides long. RefSeq lists it as uncharacterized. The record is from RefSeq and is a predicted model, not a curated record. NCBI's taxonomy places the organism in Eukaryota, Metazoa, Chordata, Mammalia, Rodentia, Muridae. The transcript is spliced from 2 exons.